UUGGCAUGACACGAGUUAUGUUCUUCUCAUAUAUUUUAUGAUAGUAUGAUACUAAACCCCUAACGGCAUGGAUUAUGCCUGAUAUUCAUAUGAUGAAGACAUAAUCUUUCAAUCAGUUUAAUUGAGGUCUGGAGCUGGCAUGUCAGUUAACUGCUAGUAGUCUGUUGUUAUUUAUGUAUUAUUGUUAUUUUAUUUAUUUUCUU
RNAcentral lists this long non-coding RNA (203 nucleotides) under Mytilus galloprovincialis (Mediterranean mussel). The record is from RNAcentral. Lineage: Eukaryota; Metazoa; Mollusca; Bivalvia; Mytilida; Mytilidae.